This 809-nucleotide ribosomal RNA is filed under the name Amanita sabulicola. RNAcentral describes it as "partial large subunit ribosomal RNA". The record is from RNAcentral. Lineage: Eukaryota; Fungi; Basidiomycota; Agaricomycetes; Agaricales; Amanitaceae.
UUUGAAAUCUGGCGGUGUUUUUACUGUCCGAGUUGUAAGCUAGAGAAGUGCAGCCUGUGYUGAACCGUGUAUAAGUCUUCUGGAAUGGGGCAUCWUAGAGGGUGAGAAACCCGUYUUUGACACGGAGUACCAGUACAUUGUGGUUGUGUGCUCAACGAGUCGAGUUGUUUGGGAAUGCAGCUCUAAAUGGGUGGUAAAUUCCAUYUAAAGCUAWAUAUUGGCGAGAGACCGAUAGCGAACAAGUACCGUGAGGGAAAGAUGAAAAGAACUUUGGAAAGAGAGUUAAAAAGUAUGUGAAAUUGUUGAAAGGGAAACAUUUGAAGUCAGAGAUGUUGACUGGGGAUCAACUUGGGAAAAUAGCUGAAUGUAAUUCCUGGUUAAUGGGCCAACAUCAGUUUUUGAUUGCUAGAGAAAGGCCAAGGGAAUGUGGCACCUAUUGGGUGUGUUAUAGCUCUUGGUUGUAUGUAGUGGUUAGGACUGAGGAAAGCAGCGUGCCUUAUGGAGGGGUUUCGACCACAUUCACGCUCAGGAUGUUGGCAAUAAUGGCUUUAAAUGACCCGUCUUGAAACACGGACCAAGGAGUCUAACAUGCAUGCGAGUAUUUGGGUGGAAAACCCCGAUGCGCAAUGAAAGUGAAAGUUGAGAACCCUACUGUUGGGGGGCAUCGACGCCCGGACCAGAACUAUUGGGACGGAUCUGCGGUAGAGCAUGUAUGUUGGGACCCGAAAGAUGGUGAACUAUGCCUGAAUAGGGUGAAGCCAGAGGAAACUCUGGUGGAGGCUCGUAGCGAUUCUGACGUGCAAAUCGAU